RNAcentral lists this ribosomal RNA (387 nucleotides) under Ceramium sp. RNAcentral's name for it is "partial small subunit ribosomal RNA". It matches the Rfam family "Eukaryotic small subunit ribosomal RNA", at positions 582 to 975 of the family's 1831-position model. Lineage: Eukaryota; Rhodophyta; Florideophyceae; Ceramiales; Ceramiaceae. The record is from RNAcentral.
AUUCCAGCUCUGUAAGCGUAUACCAAAGUUGUUGCAGUUAAAACGCUCGUAGUCGGACGUUGGCGGGCGCUGCGAGUCGGCCUCACGGUCGAUCUUGUUGGCGACCGCCUUUGUGGAGGGGGGCUUGGGCGGUGCUUUGUUGUCAUCCCUUUGUCGCUGCCACCGUUUACUGUGAAAAAAUUAGAGUGUUCAAAGCGGGCGUUUGCCAUGAAUACAUUAGCAUGGAAUAAUAGAAUAGGACCUGGUCCUGUUUUGUUGGUUUGUGAGUAUCAGGUAAUGAUUAAGAGGGACGGUUGGGGGCAUUUGUAUUCCGGCGUCAGAGGUGAAAUUCUUGGAUUGCCGGAAGACAAACAGCUGCGAAAGCGUCUGCCAAGGACGUUUUCAUCA